This 72-nucleotide transfer RNA is filed under the name Cricetulus griseus (Chinese hamster). It matches the Rfam family "tRNA". From Rfam's summary of the family: Transfer RNA (tRNA) molecules are approximately 80 nucleotides in length. The record is from Rfam by way of RNAcentral. Lineage: Eukaryota; Metazoa; Chordata; Mammalia; Rodentia; Cricetidae.
GGGGAAGUAGCUCAGUGGUAGAGCUCUUGCUUUACAAGCAUGAAGUCCCGAGUUUGAUUCCCAGUGCUCCCA